Long non-coding RNA from Alligator mississippiensis (American alligator), 3549 nucleotides. RefSeq lists it as uncharacterized. The record is from RefSeq and is a predicted model, not a curated record. The transcript has 3 exons. NCBI's taxonomy places the organism in Eukaryota, Metazoa, Chordata, Crocodylia, Alligatoridae.
UCAUGCUGGUUUGGAGCAACCAUUUUGCCUGUCUGGCCCACACAGAAAAGCUGCAGCAGCAAGAGACACAGACAUUACAAUCUCAUCACUUUCAACAGCAAAUAGAAACAUGGGAUCUUAAACAUGCAUUUCUAAUUUGAACAACACAAUCAAUAGCUUUUCUAUUUUCCAUUUUUUCCAAAGGAUGAAAUGAGUAGGUUUCAAGCAUUACUGAAGCAAAAUGGAUGCUAUCCUUGCAUUGGAUUACUCUUUGACUGAGAAAGCAAAGUAACUGGAAGAAAAAGAAAGGAUUACAUAAAUCUGACAUCACAAAGCAGCCAGAAAACUUGCAGAUAUAUACAGUCUCAAGGAUUCCCAACUAGUGAAAUCCUAGAACCUAGGAUCAAACUUUCAAAAGUAUUUUAGAAGCAGUCUGAAGAGUAAAGUCAAUGUGAAGACUAGCCAUUCUGUGAUUGAACAGCUGGAAGCCAGACAAGAGAACAUAUGAUCUCUCUUCUUCUCAAGGGACAAUGUUACUCCUGAACGCAAAAAAACCAGUACUCAACAAGCCUAAAGUAAACAGCAUUCAAAGUAUUUCAAAUGGUUUGGUUACUUCAUAUUCAAUCACAUCAGAGACGAGAGCUGGUUCUGACUUCUGAAGCAAUGAAUAUGAUGAAACACAAAACCACAAAAAUAUAAAUAUUGGUUUCUUUAAUUUGUCUCUACCUGGAAGCUAAAUAGUAUAAAUAAGUCUUUAAUGAGGCUUUGCAACAUGUAUUAUUUGGAGAGCCACUAAAGUUACUAAAUAAAAAUCAGUCACAAAGAUCCUAAAAUUCAAUUAAAAAGAUGGUCUGAAAUCUUGUGGGUUUUAUGCUCGUGACACUUUUGCCUGAGUCAAGAUACAGAAUUUAGCAAAUACGCUGCAUCUUUUAGCAAAAUAAAUGAGCACAAUGCUGACAUCAUUGUUUUAAUGUAAACAUUUUAUUCCCGAAAUGUCAGAUCAUAAUAUCUAACUAAAGAACAGCACAUUUAAGAGUUGUCAUUGAUAUGUAAUAAGAGCUUUAAUUUUAGUAUUGUCUACAAGAAAAUCCAGCCUUUCAGCCUCUUUUUUUUUUUUUUUUUCUGAAGGUGACCAAGGGCAGGAACACAGAAGUUUAUUACUGGGUUUUGGUGUUUUUUGUGCUACCAUUUGUAACAGGCAGAGAAAUUACUUUUGAUAGUGAAUUUGGAAAACUAUGGGUCAGGAAGAGAAUAAGUCUGUCAAAUGUGUGUUCUUUUAAGAUGCAAUGGGCUGGUACAACUCUCACUCAGAUUGAUGGGAGGUUUUCUGAUUAUCUGAUAGGGCAUGUAUUAGAACUUCAGAUUUAUUUUUCUCCUGAGUAUUGAAAGUUAUUAAGUGGGUUUAGCCAAAUUCCCUCACAGACAAGCUUCUGGGUUUACAGGCUCAAAGACACAGUUUGUUUUAAAAUCCUUUUUAUAUAUUUUUUUACUGAUGCUUGAAAAUAGACAUAAAGCCAAAAGAAAACUUCACUAGUAGUUCACGAGGUUUGUAAUCUUGCAAACUGCAUUAUGCUUUCAGAUAUAUUACCUGGAUAUUAUAGAAAGGUAUCAAGCAUAUGGCAGUUUUCUAUACAGCUAGAAAUUCUGCUAAAACUGCUCUGUGCUUUACUUCUCAAAGGGAGAAAAGUAUGCCACUCUCUAAAACAAGUUUCAGUACUGCCAGACUGAUUUUUACAAUAGGGUAGUCACUGUUGGUAAGGUGUAUACAUACUGUCUCCUCUUCAGGAGUUGAGGAAAUGAAGGACUGGAAUUCUGGGGAUUACUGUAGUCCAGAUUCCUGCCUAUUAUUUCCUUUUGAGGCUACCUGCAUUGCCUCCUCUUCAAAGGCACUACCAGGAGCAAAGGAUUACUCAAGCCAAAACUGCAUUUCACCAAGUACAGGUUUCCCUCACUUUAUGCUGUACAUGUGUUCCUGGAAAAUGGCACAUAAUCUGAAUUCACAUAAAGGGAACCAACUUUACAAUGCAACGGAUAGGGCUAUGUUACAAAACCUCGACUGUACUGACCCCCAAACCCAUUUCUACCACUUUUACAAUUUUGGUACUCACCAACAGCAGACAGUACACACAAGCACAGGACAUUAUCAUAAUGGGGAUGGCAACUACAGAAACACGUUGCAGAUGAGCAAGGAGCAGAGAUCCACACAAGAGACUCUCUGUUCACUUCUGUUUCAAUUUAAUCUGCUCAGCCUGCAAAGACUGAAUUAAUUCAGCCUCAGGCUUUUUGACUGUAUGUACCUAGCCCAAGUGAUCCAAAACUGGUUUAAAGCUGUAACAGAACAGAAGUUCAGUGCACAUAAACUGCUUUCAAAGUGGCCGAAACCAGUUUAAGAUAAACCUGGUUGGAUGUAGUAUCAGACUUAACUGAUCACGGUCAAACUGAUUUAUGGAACUUUUGUCCCAGAUUCCUUCCUGAUUCAAGUUAACAUACAGUGUCCCAAUAUCCCGUAAUGCUUUGCAGCCCUGGGCUGUGCUGUCUGCUCCAGCGGAGCAGGGCCAGCCCCUUCCCCAGAUAUCAAACAGCUAAGGCAGUAAAGCCUCUCCUCCCAGCCAGCACCUAUCAGCCCCGUUGGAUGGUGGGGGCAAAGGAACAGACUCCCCAGACUCACCCUAGCCCCCAUGUGUACCAGACAAGGGGAAUGAAACCCCAGCAGUGGGGACUUUUCACCCCAACAGCAGCCAGGCAAAAAGGGUUGGCAUUGGCUCAGUCUCACCCCCUCUCAUUUUAUCUUUAGAGGCCUUUAACAAAGUUAACCUAAAAAUGACCCUUAAGCAAAUAUCCUGAGAGAUCAAACCCUAGGGCCUUUGAAAAAAUUGGAAAGAAAAGGUCACUUGCAGUGGUAUGGAAGUUCCCCAAAGUAAUUAAAAUGGUCAACAAAAGAAACUAAUUACCAAGCAAAAGAAUCUGUUGAGUAAGAUCCAAGCCCAAAUUUGGGAGUGGUGACAGGUUUGGGUAGGAGGGGCCCAAGACGGCAACUCACUCAAUAAAAACUGUAACCUACUGUCCCAAUUUGGAGGUAACCUCACUUGCAGAACAACGAAGGAAGAAUCGCAAAUGUAGGCCAGAUCAGACUGAUCACCUGAACCACCCUCUCCGUGAACACGAAUUUCUUAGUUCACGCUGAAGCUGAGGAGCACCCGAAAGGGACUGAAGGAAGGGGACUUAGUCCUAUCAGUAUUGAGGCCAGCCCAUUGAACCAUACUGCUGAGGAGAGCCCAUUAAAUUGUACUACUGAGGCCAACCCAUUAAAUUGUACUACUGAGGAAUGAAACCAUAUUUAGGUGUUUGGCUUCUCGGAAUUCUAGGAUUGUAAGUAUGUUAUGAAAAAUAAUAGUAUUGAUUCAAAUUUAACUUUGAGUUGUAAUUGUAAUUGUUUGGAAAGGAAGUACAUUUGGAGCAUUGUUUUUGAUAUAUGUAGUUAUUGUGUUCUUAAUGUUUGUGGUAUUUCUUAAAGCUAAGCAGUGUUAUAUGCGUAGCAAAUAAUUUUAAAAUAAAAUUGCGUUGUAUGAA